This is a non-coding RNA of Cricetulus griseus (Chinese hamster), 3151 nucleotides long. The record is from RefSeq and is a predicted model, not a curated record. Lineage: Eukaryota; Metazoa; Chordata; Mammalia; Rodentia; Cricetidae.
GUUAGCUGCGUAGGCAGCGACUUGAUAAAGGGAAAAUGAACUGAAUCAUUAAGCUUCCUUUAUCGUCUCCUCUUUACAGACCACAAAACUGACUGGAGGAAACUCUACCAAAAACUUUAAUAUGGAAAAAAGGGAAAAAAUGAAAACAUCAAGAUCCCUCCACAAAGCUCUGCAAAGAUUCAUGAAAAUCAUCUACUCAAGGUGCCUGGAAAAGACCGAGGAGAUAAUGGACAGGGAUCCCCAGCUCCUAGCAGUAACUCCAAAGUCUCCAAAGAAGAUGAUGGACCAGCCACCAUGAUGACUCCAUCUGGAUUGUGGUAACAGAAACUACUGGAUGAGGUGAGACAUCCCCAGUGCUGCACCUGCUGCCAGGACCCACCCCAAACUGUGGACAAGGAAGACACUGGAGAGUUGAUUGUCCCACUUUUCCUAGAGAUUUCCACUUGACUGACGUCAACCUGCUCCAAACAAAUGCCAGACCUGGACUUGAUGAAAGUCGAUGUGAACCAGACCACAUGUGAUUGCUCCCUGUCUCUUCAGCUGGGUCAGCAAACCAGAUGCUUCUGAUGAAUAGAUACCCCACUGCCUGAAUUCCCUCCUUGCCUUUGAAUAGCAUUUCAGCCCUCACCUGCUCCUGGCCCUACAACAUCAUCUUAGUUUCAACAGGAAGUGGUUGUUCUCCAACAGGCUGGAAUGUUAGAUCAAAAGAAUAGUCCCUGGUUCAGGGGACAAAAGCUACUUAUAGAACCUAUUUGCAUACCAGGAAAGGUACCUGUUAAACCAAAUAGGCCCAGAUCUAUCAAUAGGUAGAUUCAUUAACUGAAAUAGUUCUGCAUUAUGCCAGGGCACUCAACUUGCUCUAUGCAAAACAAAGGUUAUUGUAUACCUUUAAGAGAAAAUUGUUGUUUCUAUUCAAACUGCCCAGGAAUCAUUAGAAAUAACCUGGUUGUACUAAGAAAAAUUGCAUAAAAGGGGACCUGGGAUAAGUAAAUAACCGAUCCCUACUCUCAUUUCCAGCUUCCAUCUAGAUAGUAACUCUGAUGUCAGCCAUCACAAGGCCUUUGGCCCUUCUGCUUCUGCUGAUGGCUGUUGGCUCUUGCAUCCUUGAUGCCUUAACUAAGUGAUAAUUCCUGUCUGGGCACCAUUAAACUGAUGAUUAUUAGAUCCCAAUAUAAACAGGUACCCAUCACAGAGUCAAGGAUUUGGCUCAGGAUACAACUCAAGGGGGGAAUGUGAGAGCCAAGUUACAUUUUAAGUUGUAAUUACUAUGCAAAGAGGUCCAUGAAACAAAAAUACCUCUGAUCUGCAAGCACCUGUCCAAGAACAGAUAGUUCCUGAAAUGUUGGAGUCUAUUGUCUAUGGGCGAUAAGAAGCCAUGUGUUUCCACUCCCCUAAACAAGUUUGUUUGAUCCAUCUGCAUUGAACGUGCUUGAUCACAUGUGGGUAGGAGGUAUACAGGCAGGAAGUACAUCAGGAUGGAUGUUUGUCUCUGAUCAAACCUCAUGGGAAAUAUAGUGAAUUACGGAUUGCACCUUCUGAAGACUCUGCAAAAUGUGACUUGGGGCCAUUUCCUUAUUCCCAGAGGCUUUUUCUCCAUUCCCCCAUCCCAGCUCCGUAGAGAGCUGGCUCAGUAAGUCUGAGCUGUCCUGUGGAAGGAUAGACUUUCCCUGUCUUUUCCUCAAACAGGCACUCCUAUACUUCUGUGAUGUAGGGUCAUGGAGCUGAGUCACUUGCUGUGGGUGCAGAGUCAGAUCAGGUCAGUGGGAUGUUGUAAGCUUGUGAGGAAGCUCUUGUGUAUACUGCUCCUGCUUUCCUUAUAGCUCUCCUACGAGCGUAUGUUUGAGACAAGACCUCUUGUAGCCCAAGCUGCUCUUGAACUCUUGAUCUUCUGCUUGCAUCUGCUGGGUGCUGGGAUUGGAGACAUACAUUCUCACAUCUGGCUUAUUCAGUGUGAAGAUUGUACGUGGGUUUUACCGAACCAACUGAGUUAAAUCUCCAGCCCCCUAAAAAACACAGUUUUAAAAGAAGCCUGCUACAUUUCCACAUACAGAGUUGAGCACAUGAUCAGAAUGGCCAUUAAGAAUGAAGGAAAGACUAUGAAGUUCAAUAAUUGAAGAGACAUACUAUCUUCCCUUUCUUAGGGUUGGUAGGGUUACUAGGUGAUGUAAAUGGAGGUAUCAUUGGAUAUUGAUUAGAGAGAGAUGCUGCAACAAUAAAUCCCACAAUGAAUUCCACAGCUUAUUGUUAAUCAAGAAUGAGCAGUCAUAUAUUAAGAUCUCUCAGAUAUUUCCAAGGUCAAUGUUGAUAAUGGAGUCCACAGUAAGACCUUCCCAGAAAGGAAGCACACACUCUUUUUUUUUUUUUUUGAAUUAGAAACAAGAUUGUUUUACAUGUCAAUCCCAGUUCCCACUCCCUCCCCUACCACUCCCUCCCUAACUAAAACCCUACCUAUCACAUAUCCUUACUGCUCCCCAGGGAGGGUGAGGCCUUCCAUAGGUGGUCAUCAGAGUCUAUCCUAUCCUUUGGGAUAGGGCCUAGGCCCACCCCCGGGAAGCACACACUCUUGAUUUAACGUCCACUUGUCCAUCUCUUCCCCUGUUCUUGGCUCUGCUUCUCUUCUUCCCUCCAUCCAAUGUGUGCUAGGAAAUGCAGAACACUUUAUUCUAAACAAAACAUAACGUAGGAAAGAGAAGAAACUGGGAAAAUAAUAAUAAUUCCGUUCCCAAGUUUGUGGACUCUUGGCUCUUUGAAUGCUCUCUGUCAGGAUGCCCUCCAAACAGGGCUGUCAAGAACUGGCAGGAAGAAGGGCGUUUGCUGGCCUUAGUGGAAACACAGAAGCACUCAGAGAGAGGAAAUGUCUUUUGUAUCCAAGGAACAAACAGUAGUUAUCCUCUCAGCAUUUAAUAGCCUCAACAAGGUGAAGGUUACCAGAGAAAGCCCAGAAAAAUAAUGUAGGUUUUGCCUCCAAAGCCUCAAUUAUCAAGGAUGUUUGGCUUACAGACAAAAGGGCUAAUUAUUUUCCGAGGAGAACUGUUUUCUUUCUGUUUCUUCAUCAUCUUUCAAACCCAUUUUUUAUUGUUCCUUUCCAUAUUAAACAUGUACAUACUCUGUGUGUCCUCCUUAUCCUCAAGUGCACAUGUACACACACACA